This 449-nucleotide ribosomal RNA is filed under the name uncultured bacterium. RNAcentral's name for it is "partial 16S ribosomal RNA". It matches the Rfam family "Bacterial small subunit ribosomal RNA", at positions 29 to 523 of the family's 1533-position model. The record is from RNAcentral.
AGCGAACGCUGGCGGCAAGCUUAACACAUGCAAGUCGAACGAUGUAGCAAUACAUAGUGGCGGACGGGUGCGUAACACGUGGGAAUCUGCCUUUAGGUAAGGAAUAACUCAGGGAAACUUGAGCUAAUACCUUAUAAUGUCUUCGGACCAAAAAUUUAUUGCCUAAAGAUGAGCCCGCGGUAGAUUAGCUAGUUGGUGGGGUAAUGGCCUACCAAGGCAACGAUCUAUAGCUGGUCUUAGAGGAUGAUCAGCCACACUGGGACUGAGACACGGCCCAGACUCCUACGGGAGGCAGCAGUGGGGAAUAUUGGGCAAUGGACGAAAGUCUGACCCAGCUAUGCCGCGUGAAUGAUGAAGGCCUUAGGGUUGUAAAGUUCUUUUACCGGGGAAGAUAAUGACGGUACCCGGAGAAAAAGCUCCGGCUAACUUCGUGCCAGCCGCCGCCGUAA